Molecule: ribosomal RNA, 506 nt
Filed under: uncultured bacterium
Lineage: Bacteria
Description: partial 16S ribosomal RNA
Rfam family: Bacterial small subunit ribosomal RNA
Source: RNAcentral
AGUGAACGCUGGCGGUAGGCCUAACACAUGCAAGUCGAACGGCAGCACAGAGGAGCUUGCUCCUUGGGUGGCGAGUGGCGGACGGGUGAGGAAUACAUCGGAAUCUACUCUGUCGUGGGGGAUAACGUAGGGAAACUUACGCUAAUACCGCAUACGACCUACGGGUGAAAGCAGGGGAUCUUCGGACCUUGCGCGAUUGAAUGAGCCGAUGUCGGAUUAGCUAGUUGGCGGGGUAAAGGCCCACCAAGGCGAGGAUCCGUAGCUGGUCUGAGAGGAUGAUCAGCCACACUGGAACUGAGACACGGGCCAGACUCCUACGGGAGGCAGCAGUGGGGAAUAUUGGACAAUGGGCGCAAGCCUGAUCCAGCCAUACCGCGUGGGUGAAGAAGGCCUUCGGGUUGUAAAGCCCUUUUGUUGGGAAAGAAAUCCAUCUGGUUAAUACCCGGGUGGGAUGACGGUACCCAAAGAAUAAGCACCGGCUAACUUCGUGCCAGCCGCCGCGGUAA